This 596-nucleotide ribosomal RNA is filed under the name uncultured bacterium. RNAcentral's name for it is "bacterial SSU rRNA". It matches the Rfam family "Bacterial small subunit ribosomal RNA", at positions 112 to 704 of the family's 1533-position model. The record is from RNAcentral.
AAUACAUCGGAACGUGCCCAAUCGUGGGGGAUAACGCAGCGAAAGCUGCGCUAAUACCGCAUACGAUCUAUGGAUGAAAGCGGGGGACCGUAAGGCCUCGCGCGAUUGGAGCGGCCGAUGUCAGAUUAGGUAGUUGGUGGGGUAAAGGCUCACCAAGCCAACGAUCUGUAGCUGGUCUGAGAGGACGACCAGCCACACUGGGACUGAGACACGGCCCAGACUCCUACGGGAGGCAGCAGUGGGGAAUUUUGGACAAUGGGCGCAAGCCUGAUCCAGCAAUGCCGCGUGCAGGAAGAAGGCCUUCGGGUUGUAAACUGCUUUUGUACGGAACGAAAAGGCUCUGGUUAAUACCUGGGGCACAUGACGGUACCGUAAGAAUAAGCACCGGCUAACUACGUGCCAGCAGCCGCGGUAAUACGUAGGGUGCAAGCGUUAAUCGGAAUUACUGGGCGUAAAGCGUGCGCAGGCGGUUUUGUAAGACAGGCGUGAAAUCCCCGGGCUUAACCUGGGAAUUGCGCUUGUGACUGCAAGGCUGGAGUGCGGCAGAGGGGGAUGGAAUUCCGCGUGUGGCAGUGAAAUGCGUAGAUAUGCGGAGG